CUGACCACCUAAACCCAGGAGGCGUCCCCUGGCCGAGUUCAGAGCCCUGCGUGCUGGUCCACACACAAAAGAGGUAGCUGCCCCAGGGAAAAAUCCCCAAAACGUGUGGCCUCUUCCCCCAGCCAUUCAGCUUUGGCAUCUGUGCUUGGAGAGCUGACUCAGUGGCUGAGAUGUAUACGACUGUGGCUACAGAUACACCGGUCGAGUUGCUAGCUCAGGGGUAGAGCAGAGGACUCACAGAGAAGUGGCUUUCGUCACAGGAUUGAACAUAAGCUCCAGGCUCAUGAGAAACGCAUUUCCUAGUAGUCACUGCUCCCAGGCAUGCAGGGAAGGGUUUUCUCAGCUCUUCAUCUGUGUCCUCAGGGGACAUCUUCAGGCCGUUAGGAGACAGGAUCUGAGCGUCUGCUGCAGCUGAACCCUGGAAACCAACAGUAAAUUCGAUACUUGAAGAACUGCUAAAGAUUUAUGGUGUUUCAGAGGAGAAGCUUCGGAAAAGGAAGACGAGCCAACUUCCCUGCAACGUGUUAGAAAACAUCCGAGGGUGUGGAGCUGUUUUUUGUUACACGGAGCAAAUGAAACGACAGGAAAGACCAUGAAGCGGUUUGUGGGAUGUCUGAGUCUUUGGAAUUCAACUGUACGAAAUUUUCAUCUUUUUGAGACUUUUGUGCAUUUCACAGCUCUCCCAUUAAGAAGCAUUGUUUUCCCUGUUUUGGUCAGUUUCUCCAGAUCCCUCCUGGGGUGUGUGGUCCCCUCAGCUGUCUCAGCAUCCUGUGAUUCUCACUUCUUUACGAGGUCUCCCUGGGACUCAGCCCUCCCUCUGUCCCUCCCUGCCUCCCCCUUCCUUCCUUCCUUCCUUCCUUCCUUCCUUCCUUCCUUCCUUCCUUUCUUCCUUCUUCUCUUUCUUUUCCUUUUUUUUUCUCUCUCUGUCUCUGUCUCCCUCUCUAUCUCUCUCUUUCUUUUUAUUUUUUCAUUUCUUCUUUGUCUCUUACAUAAUUUCUAAGGAAAGAAAGUGGCAAUGUCUUUAAUAAGAAGCUUUAAAGUAGGCAGGUGUGGUGGUACACUCCUAUAUCCCAGCACUCCGGGGAGGCUGAGGCAGGAGGAUCAUUGCAAGUUCGAGACCAGCCUGGCUACAAAGCGAGCCCAAGGCCAGCCUGAACUGCACAGCAAAAACCUGUCAAAAAAAACAAAAGCUUCAAAAUUGUAAAUAUGUGAAGACUUUGAGAAGCCCAUUGCGCUGCCUUCCUUCCUGAGACCUCCGGGGGCCGGGGCGUCGUCUUCCCCUUGCUGCCUGUCAGGUACCAUGAACUGCAAUGCAGGGCUAAGAUUUGGCGACACUCAGAAGACCAAGUCUUUCUUGAAAACGCUGGGCUCAGGAGUGGCCCCACAACCUUACCUUGUUCAAAGCAUAUCUCAGAAGUUUCUACAAACACUCUUUCUCAUCUUUUAAAAAAAUAACUCUCUUAAUUCUGUAGUUUGACCAAUGCUCUGUCUAUGCUUUGAUAAGUAAGAUACAAGGUAUGACAUAAAAUAUGGUAAGUAUUAAAAAGUUUUCAGUUAUGGAGAAAGACAGAUUUUACCUUUAAGGUACUUGCUUGAAACACGCUUUCCCCAUUAUUAUAUUAUUCCCGCCACCUGGGAAGCAGUCCUGAAGUCCUCUUUCCUUGUACUGUGUUGACUUCCUCAAAAUCCCAAAUUGUUUCAAAACAUUUACCUUUCAUUAAUUCAACUUCAUUAAUUGCUUCAAAGUAACUUCAACUUCAGGGAAGAGCCAGAAGUCACAUGGUGCCAGAUCUUAUGAAUAAGGUGGAGGGGGACACGGCAUAAUGUUUUAGGAGGCUGCUUUUCCAUUGGGUGGCACUCAGCAGCACUGUAUUUUUUAAAUUGUUUAUUAGUGCAUUUUAGACAAAAGUAAUGAUCAUGUUCAUCCCAGGGAAUCUGUGUCUGUAAGUGAUAUAUUUUGAUACCUCUUUUUUUCCCCAAUCCCUUCUCCUCCCUUCAAUUCCUCUUCCUAACCCUUCUUACAAAGCUUUGUUUCCAUUUUAUCUUUUUUAAAAACGAACUAUACUUUUUAAAUUAUGGGUUGUAAAGACACAAAAUAAGGGGGAGUGUUUUAAGGGUAACUAAUGGUAAUAUGUAUUUUACUGUAAUAAAUUUUAAAAUUUUUUA
Long non-coding RNA from Cavia porcellus (domestic guinea pig), 2166 nucleotides. RefSeq lists it as uncharacterized. The transcript is spliced from 2 exons. NCBI's taxonomy places the organism in Eukaryota, Metazoa, Chordata, Mammalia, Rodentia, Caviidae. The record is from RefSeq and is a predicted model, not a curated record.